Molecule: long non-coding RNA, 353 nt
Organism: Felis catus (domestic cat)
Lineage: Eukaryota; Metazoa; Chordata; Mammalia; Carnivora; Felidae
Exons: 3
Source: RefSeq, a predicted model, not a curated record
UUUACUGUUUAAACCGUUUGGAAUGUAGUAGAUCAGGAACUUGCCUUGUUGGUUUCAGUUACAACGGACAUCAUUACAUCAGAAAUUUUACUCGUCAUUAACCUCUAAAAAAAUUCAAACCUAGGAAAAUUCCCCAAAAACCUUCAAGAAGGCAGAAAUCAAAGAAUGAGGAUGGUCUUCAGUGAUGUUUUUACCUUACUCUGCCUCUUGGGUGUUAGUUAUUUAUCUUCUGUACUUGGAGGUGCUGGAGGUGUGAUUUGUAGAUUAUGCAACCUCUCAGUCCCCUUCCAUGGAUGUCUUUUGGAUUUUGGAACCUGCAGAACAAAACCUGGUCAGUACUGCAUAAAAGAGAU